AACGCAAGUUGCGCCCAAAGCCUUCGGGCCGAGGGCACGUCUGCCUGGGUGUCACGCAACGUCGCUCCCCCAAUCCCCUGCUCUGGGGCUCUUGAAUGCGGAGCGGAGAAUGGCCUCCCGUGAGCUUAUCGUCUGCGGCUGGCCCAAAAAUGAGUCCAAGUCGGCGGGUGCCGCGGCAUUCGGUGGUUGAAAAUACCCUUACGAUGCCGCUCUCAUUCGGCCGAUCCAACAGGGAUCUCAACGACCCUCUUUGUAUCCGACGCGACCCCAGGUCAGGCGGGAUUACCCGCUGAGUUUAA
RNAcentral lists this unclassified non-coding RNA (299 nucleotides) under uncultured soil eukaryote. Its description in RNAcentral is "sequence contains 5.8S rRNA gene, ITS2, 28S rRNA gene". The record is from RNAcentral.